CCAGGGGUCGUCGUUUCGAUCCCGACAGGCUCCACCAUUUGAGUGAAACGACUUUGGGUCUGUAGCUCAGGUGGUUAGAGCGCACCCCUGAUAAGGGUGAGCUCGGUGGUUCGAGUCCUCCCAGACCCACCACUCUGAAUGUAGUGCACACUUAAGAAUUUAUAUGGCUCAGCGUUGAGGCUGAGACAUGUUCUUUUAUAACUUGUGACGUAGCGAGCGUUUGAGAUAUCUAUCUAAACGUGUCGUUGAGGCUAAGGCGGGGACUUCGAGUCCCUAGAAAUUGAGUCGUAUGUUCGCGUUGGUGGCUUUGUACCCCACACAACACGGCGUAUGGCCCCGAGGCAACUUGGGGUUAUAUGGUCAAGCGAAUAAGCGCACACGGUGGAUGCCUAGGCGGUCAGAGGCGAUGAAGGACGUGGUAGCCUGCGAAAAGUGUCGGGGAGCUGGCAACAAGCUUUGAUCCGGCAAUGUCCGAAUGGGGAAACCCACUGCUUCGGCAGUAUCCUGCAGUGAAUGCAUAGCUGCUGGAAGCGAACCCGGUGAACUGAAAUAUCUAAGUAACCGGAGGAAAAGAAAUCAACCGAGAUUCCCUAAGUAGUGACGAGCGAACGGGGAGCAGCCCUUAAGCUGGAAUGGCUUUAGAAAAACAAUCUGGAA
RNAcentral lists this unclassified non-coding RNA (657 nucleotides) under Xanthomonas campestris pv. passiflorae. RNAcentral's name for it is "Xanthomonas axonopodis pv. passiflorae partial contains 16S-23S ribosomal RNA intergenic spacer and 23S ribosomal RNA". The stretch from base 359 to 657 matches the Rfam family "Bacterial large subunit ribosomal RNA", at positions 1 to 318 of the family's 2925-position model. Lineage: Bacteria; Pseudomonadati; Pseudomonadota; Gammaproteobacteria; Lysobacterales; Lysobacteraceae. The record is from RNAcentral.